GCAAGUCGUACGAGAAAGCUCCCUUCGGGGAGUGAGUAGAGUGGCGCACGGGUGAGUAACGCGUGGGCAAUCUGCCCCCGAGCUCGGAAUAACCCCUCGAAAGGGGGGCUAAUACCGGAUAACAAUUCGAUCUCCUCGGAGGUUGAAUUCAAAGGUGGCCUCUGAUUUAAGCUACCACUUGGGGAGGAGCCCGCGUCCCAUUAGCUUGUUGGUGGGGUAAUGGCCUACCAAGACGAUGAUGCAUAGCCGACCUGAGAGGGUGAUC
This 265-nucleotide ribosomal RNA is filed under the name uncultured bacterium. RNAcentral's name for it is "partial 16S ribosomal RNA". It matches the Rfam family "Bacterial small subunit ribosomal RNA", at positions 57 to 305 of the family's 1533-position model. The record is from RNAcentral.